Molecule: ribosomal RNA, 107 nt
Filed under: Homo sapiens (human)
Lineage: Eukaryota; Metazoa; Chordata; Mammalia; Primates; Hominidae
Source: RNAcentral
AUCUAUAGCCAUACCACCCUGAAAGUGUCCUAUCUCGUCUGAUCUUGGAAGUUAAGCAGGGUCAGGCCUGGUUAGUACUUGGAUGGGAGAAAAUAAUUCUACAGUCU